Molecule: ribosomal RNA, 405 nt
Filed under: uncultured bacterium
Lineage: Bacteria
Description: partial 16S ribosomal RNA
Rfam family: Bacterial small subunit ribosomal RNA
Source: RNAcentral
GACGAACGCUGGCGGCGUGCCUAAUACAUGCAAGUCGAGCGAAGCGGGGACGGGUGAGUAACACGUGGAUAACCUCCUAUAAGACGGGGAUAACUUCGGGAAACCGGGGCUAAACCGGCGACGUAUAGAUGGGUCCGCGCGGGAUUAGCUAGUUGGUAGGGUAACGGCUUACCAAGGCGACGAUGCGUAGCCGACCUGAGAGGGUGAUCGGCCACACUGGAACUGAGACACGGUCCAGACUCCUACGGGAGGCAGCAGUAGGGAAUCUUCCGCAAUGGGCGAAAGCCUGACGGAGCAAUGCCGCGUGAGUGAUGAAGGUCUUCGGAUCGUAAAACUCUGUUAUUAGGGAAGCGGUACCUACUCAGAAAGCCACGGCUAACUACGUGCCAGCAGCCGCGGUAAUUC